CACACUCGCCCUAGAGCAUGAGAGAGUGGGAAAGGAGGAUAAAGAGAGAGAGAGGAGCAUCCGGCUGGAGAGGGGGUCCUGCAGCACACUCAGCACCCAUACUUCCCACUGAGACUGACUUGAAGAUUCUAGUGAUAUUACAGUGAUCGGCAGUCAUACUAACUGGUUAAUCUAUCCUGUGUUAACAUUGCAGGGAUCACGAACAGUGUGAGAGAGAGCCAGAGUGGGUUUCACACUCUAACACACCUAACACAAACAGAUUAGAGCAGAUUAACAUGGAUUACCAGAAAAAUGAUUUAGAUCAGAGGCUUAACUAAUGAUUUCAUCAAAAAAAGUAAUCUGUACAUUUUAUUCCCUCCAUCUUUUUCCUCCUCUACUUUAAGUCGUGAGGAGGAUGCCGUGAGAGGUGGAGGCAGGCCAGAACCUAUUAAUCAGGAAGUAGAAAGUUAAUAACGGGGUGCAGGUAACAGAAUGGUAUGGAUUACUCCAUAACCAAAUGCAAACGCACAGUGAACUCUUGGACCUGUACGACCCGUCACCCUGAGCAUUACUAUGAGUAAGAUAUACUGUAUCUGCCCUAAGAUGUGAUCAUACGUAAAACACUUGUACGCCAAAGCAAAAUGUAUUCCAAUAAUAUCUCUACAUUUGAUGACACGUUUUACGGCUGGAUCUGAUAGUAUCUGUAUCAAGUCUGUAUGAUCAAAACUCACUGUAGGACUAGAGUGAAAAGUUAGGUGACAGAGAUCUAGAUAGCAUAUCCGAUAGCUCUCUAAGGUUUAUGAUGAAAGGCGGCUAGGGGCUAGUGAUCUAUUGACUCCCAUUACUGUUGAAUGGUUAGAGUGAAGAGCCCUAGGGAUUUAUAACAGCAUAAACUUUCAGUCCUGGUCGGACAGACAUGUCCUCCUCCCAUCCCUUUCUUUUCUCCUGGUGUGACCCCUCUCCUUUGUUAAUUUCACCAUUCUGUCCAUCUGUUAUUUUCCAUCUCUCUUUUAACUUGACAGAAUCUUAUCCAACUCUCUCUCUUUCCCCUUCUCUCUCUAUUCUUGCUUUCCCUUUGUCCCCAUUUUCUAAUAUUUUCUCUACAUUGUUUUUAUCUUCUCUUGUUUUUUACUCUGUUCUUUCUUUUUGAAACUCUCUUUCACUGAUUUCAAUCUAUCACCAGAACUGUCAUCAUCUUCUUCAUCAUCCUCUACAUCACCAACAACAACCUCAUCCUCACAUACUGCUGUUGAUACUUAUAUCCCAUCUUCCUCCGUUUGUCCAUCUGUCUUUCAUCAUCCUGUUCUUCUCCUUCCCCUGCCCUGAGUCUCUACACACUUCCUCUUCUCCCACCCUAUCCCUCCUUCUUGAUCUUCCCUCCCCC
Molecule: long non-coding RNA, 1363 nt
Filed under: Salmo salar (Atlantic salmon)
Lineage: Eukaryota; Metazoa; Chordata; Actinopteri; Salmoniformes; Salmonidae
Description: lncRNA (ENSSSAG00000100693.1)
Source: RNAcentral